GACGAACGCUGGCGGCGUGCCUAAUACAUGCAAGUAGAACGCACAGUUUAUACCGUAGCUUGCUACACCAUAGACUGUGAGUUGCGAACGGGUGAGUAACGCGUAGGUAACCUGCCUGGUAGCGGGGGAUAACUAUUGGAAACGAUAGCUAAUACCGCAUAAUAUUAAUUAUUGCAUGAUAAUUAAUUGAAAGGUGCAAUUGCACCACUACCAGAUGGACCUGCGUUGUAUUAGCUAGUAGGUGAGGUAACGGCUCACCUAGGCGACGAUACAUAGCCGACCUGAGAGGGUGAUCGGCCACACUGGGACUGAGACACGGCCCAGACUCCUACGGGAGGCAGCAGUAGGGAAUCUUCGGCAAUGGACGAAAGUCUGACCGAGCAACGCCGCGUGAGUGAAGAAGGUUUUCGGAUCGUAAAGCUCUGUUGUAAGAGAAGAACGGGUGUGAGAGUGGAAAGUUCACACUGUGACGGUAUCUUACCAGAAAGGGACGGCUAACUGCGUG
Molecule: ribosomal RNA, 505 nt
Filed under: uncultured bacterium
Lineage: Bacteria
Description: partial 16S ribosomal RNA
Rfam family: Bacterial small subunit ribosomal RNA
Source: RNAcentral